UGGCUCAGAACGAACGCUGGCGGCAUGCCUAACACAUGCAAGUCGAACGAACCCUUCGGGGUUAGUGGCGCACGGAUGCGUAACACGUGGGAAUCUGCCCUUUGCUUCGGAAUAACAGUUAGAAAUGACUGCUAAUACCGGAUGAUGUCGUAAGACCAAAGAUUUAUCGGCAAAGGAUGAGCCCGCGUAGGAUUAGGUAGUUGGUGGGGUAAAGGCCUACCAAGCCGACGAUCCUUAGCUGGUCUGAGAGGAUGAUCAGCCACACUGGGACUGAGACACGGCCCAGACUCCUACGGGAGGCAGCAGUGGGGAAUAUUGGACAAUGGGCGAAAGCCUGAUCCAGCAAUGCCGCGUGAGUGAUGAAGGCCUUCGGGUUGUAAAGCUCUUUUACCAGGGAUGAUAAUGACAGUACCUGGAGAAUAAGCUCCGGCUAACUCCGUG
Molecule: ribosomal RNA, 441 nt
Filed under: uncultured bacterium
Lineage: Bacteria
Description: bacterial SSU rRNA
Rfam family: Bacterial small subunit ribosomal RNA
Source: RNAcentral